GUGCCAGCAGCCGCGGUAAUACGAAGGGGGCUAGCGUUGCUCGGAAUGACUGGGCGUAAAGGGCGCGUAGGCGGUUUGGACAGUCAGAUGUGAAAUUCCUGGGCUCAACCUGGGGGCUGCAUUUGAUACGUUCGGACUAGAGUGGGGAAGAGGGUCGUGGAAUUCCCAGUGUAGAGGUGAAAUUCGUAGAUAUUGGGAAGAACACCGGUGGCGAAGGCGGCGACCUGGUCCUUGACUGACGCUGAGGCGCGAAAGCGUGGGGAGCAAACAGGAUUAGAUACCCCAGUAGUCC
RNAcentral lists this ribosomal RNA (292 nucleotides) under uncultured bacterium. RNAcentral's name for it is "partial 16S ribosomal RNA". It matches the Rfam family "Bacterial small subunit ribosomal RNA", at positions 505 to 796 of the family's 1533-position model. The record is from RNAcentral.